UACGAAGGUGGCAAGCGUUGUUCGGAUUUACUGGGCGUAAAGGGAGCGUAGGCGGUUGGGUAAGCCCUCCGGGAAAUCUCUCGGCUUAACCGAGAAAGGGCGGAGGGGACUGCCUGGCUAGAGGACGGGAGAGGAGCGCGGAAUUCCCGGUGUAGCGGUGAAAUGCGUAGAGAUCGGGAGGAAGGCCGGUGGCGAAGGCGGCGCUCUGGAACGUUCCUGACGCUGAGGCUCGAAAGCGUGGGGAG
RNAcentral lists this ribosomal RNA (245 nucleotides) under uncultured bacterium. Its description in RNAcentral is "partial 16S ribosomal RNA". It matches the Rfam family "Bacterial small subunit ribosomal RNA", at positions 524 to 768 of the family's 1533-position model. The record is from RNAcentral.